Molecule: long non-coding RNA, 637 nt
Organism: Rhineura floridana
Lineage: Eukaryota; Metazoa; Chordata; Lepidosauria; Squamata; Rhineuridae
Exons: 3
Source: RefSeq, a predicted model, not a curated record
UGAAGUAUCGGUCUAAGGAAAAAGAUAGUCAUUCCAUUUGUGAUGCUGUGCUGGAAGGAACAGACAACUCUAUUUCUCUAAUGGAGAAUGGAUGCUCACCAAGCUACAACUGAUAUAAAUGGUGAUGAAUUCACCAUGCAGAUGUGCCUUCAGUCUCCGUCCACCCUGCAACUCCUGAAUCUGUUUGGGCCACAGCUCCUGAAUCUAUUUUCUUCACCACGCUAUGUCCCCAUUACACCAUCCGGUUUGCAUCUGGUUUGUGAAGUCCUGAAAAUAAGUAAUAUUCCAGAAGUCUGAAGCAAGUGACAUGUGUAACUCAUCAGCAUUCCAGUUUGUAUAAAGCCUCUUGUCCAGGCCUCAGUCAAUGGAAGUGUGUGUGUGUGUGUGUGCACGCGUGCACACGUGCCUAUAGCAGGAUCAUAAGCAACAACCACGUUUGGAUGCAGACAUUGGUGAUGGGUGUUACCACACAGUCCCAGUGAACACAGACAUCCUAAGUGUAGGUGUGACCCAGUGUGAACCAGAUAAUAAAGUACUAGUGUGGCCUGUUUUCAAAUGUCAGAUUCACUGUCACUCACCACUUUCAGCUUCAGUUUCCCUUCUGAAUGGGAAAACUUUGCUGUAGUCCUAAACCAGC